AGAGUGUGAAAUGGGGCGAGAUAGAUGAGGCUUCUAUGUUUGUAUGCAUGUGCGAAAACAUCUGUAGGCCUACGAGAGAGAAAAGAGUGUAUAAUCGUUUUUCUGUUUCUUUUGUGAGGGUUUGGCACACGCUUUGCACACUCGACACCCCAAAAAAUCCUCCAAAAGUUAAUUAUGAAUUAUUAAUGUGAAUAAGGAGAUUUCAUGUUUGUUUUAGUGUACUAAAAUGUGGGGUCAGAAAGUCAAAAAACAUACAUUAACAGGACGUAGUUUAAUAUGACAAGGCUGAGCUUCUGGUCCUCUUAGCCAAGACCUGCCUCACAAAAACUCUAAAGGUCAUGCCGCCAUUGCCUCUAGGUGUGUUAAAACGUUCUGUGCCAUAGGAUGACGAGUCCUUUGUACACCACAUUAUGACAACUGUCCGAUCCGGCCGCUUCACGAAUAAUAACAAAAGAAAAACAAAGCCUUUUCUCCACAAUUUACUCUUCUGUGUAGCGUAUCUGCUCUUUAACAUUUUCAGGGCUAGACUACUGCAAAAGUCUUUCUUCCGGCAAAUGCCGUUACAGGUUUUCAAACGUAUCCAAAAUCCUGCCAUCCUGGCAACGGUCUGUUACUUGCUCUAUGCCUUUUACUUAUUUAUCUAAACAUGCGUUAGUACGUUGCGGUAUUUGAGUGUAGCACUACUUUUCAAACGUGCCGACUUGUUCAAGCAUGCCUCUUUUAAAAAGCCAUGUCAAGUUAGAUUAAGUUCUAAGCAAGAUUUAAAAUGCAUUGUGUGACCCUGCUUUCUUUUUCAUUCCUUUGCUUCUCAAAGUUCGAAUUUUUAAAUUCAAAAACACAUUCUGUGUGAAUGUACAUUUCAAAUAUAAAGAUCCUUUAGCUUCAGCAUUUAAACGGCAGACAUAUGUCUUGUAAACCUUCCUUAUUAGGACAUUUGUUGUUGUUUGUUGUUAGUUUAGUAGUUUAGUUUACAGUGUUUCUUCUUAGUGCUUUAGGCUAAGCUUCACAUGCUUUGUGAUCAUUAGCUGAUCUGAUUUGAUCUUGUAAUUGCUAUUUGCCAUUUGAUUCAUACGUGUAAUUCUUAAGUCUCUUUGGGAUGCCUUAUGAAACAGUAUAUUGGAAUAUAGCCUACUGGAAAUAUAAUGUAAACUAUUAAAUAAUGCAUACCAUAUAUGAGAAAAUAUUUUUUUUUUUUUUUUUAUAUAUACAUGUAUUAGUUUUGUUGAAACCCUCACUUAAUUAAUGCAUGGAUUUACAGGCUGCACACAUAUUAAUAAACUUUCAUCUCUUUAUUAUUUUCAUACACACUUCAUGAAAAUUAUUUGUAGUGGUUGUGACGCGUGUCCCGAGACCUCAUCAGCGUCGCCCUGGAAACGGAGGAGGAUCACCUGUACGACAUUAACACGGGCUGGCCGGCCACACCUGAAGCCCAUCAAGACGUGGAUAUAAGCACGCCGGGAACAGAGAAGGGUGAGAUAUGACUCCAGUUCGCGCAUCACUAACUUCCCUCUCCCUCUGUCACAGAGAGCAGCAUCUGACCGGCCAGCCCACAGCACACAGACUGCACGGACACCAGACCCUCUCUCACGCAGAGCACGGAAGACCAAGCUGAUCCUGGAGCACGACGAUCUCACCCACGAGCACUACGGCACGCUUGCACACCCCAAUAAACGCACCCUUCGGGGCAUUUAUUGAUCCUCCGUGUCCCGUUACACUGGUGGAGAAUGCGGGCAUAACACGGGAAGAAUCACCGACCGGCACUGUUUGUUUUCCCCCGUUCUGAUAUCUAUUUUUUUUUUUUCUGUUUUCACUCAGGCGGCGACUCCUCCCCAGCCAUGGAAGAACUGCUGAAACAUCUGACUGAAGUCAGCAUUCGACAACAGCAAAUCGUCGAACACAUGGCUGCCCGACAAGGAAAGGUGGUGCGGGAAAUCGCCGCCCUCUGGACCGCCUCCGCCCAGCGGGUUCCACUGCCCGACCCCCGUGUCCGAGCGCCGGCGCUACUGCCAAAGAUGACGGCCCACGAUGACGUCGAAAGCUUCCUCCUGAUGUUCGAGACAACGGCGAGUCAGGAAGGCUGGCCCCAGGACGAGUGGGCGCGCGCGCUGGCACCGCUGCUCACCGGCAAACCCCAACGCGCCUAUUUUUUGAUGUCACCAGAGGUGAGGAACUCCUACGAAGAAUUGAAGAAGGAGAUUCUAUCCCGGGUGGGCCUCUCGCCCAUCGCGGCGGCCCAAUUGGUACAUGACUGGGAAUACUCACCCUGGUUGCCAGCCCGCCCCCAGGCAGCCGAUUUGUCUCGCCUCGUACGCCACUGGUUGCUAGUAGGGGACCCCAGCGCCGCCCAAGUGGCCAAGCGGGUGGCCGUGGACCGUCUUCUUCGAGCCCUCCCGCGUCCCAUCCGCCAGGCUGCUGGCAUGCGGAACCCGCUCACCGUGGAAGAACUGGUGGAUGCCAUCGAGUUGGUGGAGGCGGCCCAACGUCGUGAGGCUGGGGAGCGAGCGCCACCAAUUCCCCGGAGGGUGCACCAGGAGCGACGCUCGCCGGAGGGUACCUAUCGGCCAGUAGGCAGGCCGGCGGCUCCCGAGGCCCAGGACGAGCCGAUGCCCACGGAGCCGCCCACCGCACCACGUCGGGCAUGGCUGGCAGAUUGCAUCGUCCACCAUGAGCCCCCACUGGCGGCCCCGAAGGUCAACGUCGAGGUCAACGGACAGCCCUACCGGGCACUGCUGGACUCGGGCAGUGCGAUCAGUCUGAUACAAUCGACCGUGGUAUCUCCGCGGCCAGGAUCCAAGGCCGUGCUCCCCAUCACCUGCGUGCAUGGCGAUACGCGCCAGGUCCCCACACGACGAGUCAACAUCACCGCCGCCUCUGGUUCCUGGCCCGUCGAAGUGGGCUUAGUGAAGGACCUUCCCGUCCCGGUCCUCCUAGGACGGAACUGGCCAGGAUUCGACCACCUGCUCGCUGAUGCCACCCAACCUGCCAGCCCGGCCGGGAGCCGCCGGACUCGGAGAUUCAGCCGCCGUCCCCGCCGACGCGCCGCCCUGCUUGCCUCGGACAGCCCCCGAGAUGGUGAGUCCCCCUCCCAAACCACUAACCUCUUCUAUGACAUCUUUCAACAGGUUAAGGGAGGUGGGGCUUUUGCUAAGGAGCAGCUCGGGGACGAGCGGCUGAAACACUGCUGGGCUCAAGUGAGGGUGACCGAAGGAAAGGAAGUUCAACCACCUCCCCACCCGGUCCCCCACUUCAUUGUGGAAAAUGGCCUGCUCUACUGCGUCGCACCACGAAGGGGGGAGGAAAAACAAUUGCUGGUAGUACUGCGAUCCAAGACGGAGACAGUGAUAGAGCUCGCCCACUCCCAUCCCAUGGCCGGUCACCUAGGGGCCCACAACACAAUCCAACGAAUUCGGGAUCGGUUCCACUGGCCCGGACUAGAUGCGGAGGUGAAGCGCUUCUGUCGCGCCUGCCCCACAUGCCAGCGGACCUCGCCCUGCACUCCUCCCCCCAGCCCGUUGAUUCCGCUGCCCAUCAUCGAGGUACCCUUCGAGCGAAUAGGCAUGGAUCUCGUGGGGCCGCUGCCGAAGUCUGCCCGGGGCCAUGAACACAUCCUGGUCAUAGUGGAUUAUGCCACUCGCUACCCCGAAGCCAUCCCCCUCCGGAAAGCGACAUCAAAGGCUAUCGCCCAGGAGCUCUUCCUGCUGUGUAGUCGAGUUGGCAUCCCCGCGGAGAUAUUGACCGACCAAGGCACUCCGUUUAUGUCCCGGACCAUGGCCGACCUCUGUCGCCUCCUGCAGGUUAAACAGCUCCGCAGAUCAGUCUACCACCCGCAGACCGAUGGGCUGGUCGAGAGAUUCAAUCAAACCUUGAAGCGGAUGCUCCGUCGGGUAGCCGCGGAGGACAAGCGAGAUUGGGACCAAAUGCUGCCGUACGUCCUCUUUGGGAUUCAUGAGGUGCCCCAAGCGUCAACCGGCUUCACCCCAUUCGAGCUCCUUUUCGGAUGCCAACCCCGCGGAUUACUCGACGUCGCCAAGGAAGCCUGGGAGCAACAGCCGGCCGCCCAUCGGUCCACGAUUGAGCACAUCCGUGAGAUGAGGGAACGGAUCGACAGGGUCAUGCCAAUGGUUCGGGAGCACCUCACCAAGGCUCAGCAGGCCCAACAACGCCACUAUGACCGGGCAGCCCAACCACGGGAAUUCCAGCCUGGAGAUCUCGUCCUAGUCCUGGUCCCCUCCACGGCCUGCAAAUUUCUGGCGAAAUGGCAGGGGCCAUACACUGUGACGGAAAGGGAGGGGCCCGUCACCUAUCGCAUACGCCAGCCCGGGAAACGGAAAGAAGAACAGCUGUAUCAUGUGAAUCUCCUGAAACGGUGGGUCGGGACGAGGACCCAGCUGGCCGCCCUAGCCACCUCCGCUCCCGUGGUUGUAGACGUCAACCCCCACCUAUCGGCUGCCCAGAAGACUGAGUUACAACACCUGGUCGGUCAAUUCUCCGACGUGUUCUCUCCACUCCCCGGGCGGACCCAUGUCCUUCAGCACGACAUCCGCACACCACCUGACACCAUCGUCCGGCAGCGGCCCUACCGAGUGCCAGAGGCUCGGCGACACGCCAUCGAAGAGGAAGUGCAGGAGAUCCUGAAGUUAGGGCUAAUAGAGCCCUCGCGCAGCCCCUGGUCCAGCCCCAUCGUCAUGGUACCGAAACAGGAUGGCACCCUCCGCUUUUGUAAUGACUUCUGCCGCCUAAAUGAGGUCUCCGAAUUCGAUGGGUAUCCCAUGCCGCGGGUGGACGAACUCCUAGAUCGGCUGGGGAGGGCCCGAUAUAUCUCCACAUUGGAUCUCACCAAAGGCUACUGGCAAGUGCCCCUGUCAGACGAAGCAAGACCGAAGACCACCUUCUCCACCCCCAGUGGGCACUGGCAGUAUCGGGUCCUCCCCUUCGGCCUGCAUGGGGCCCCAGCCACCUUCCAGAGGUUGAUGGACAUCCUGCUGAGGCCCCAUCAACCCUACUCAUGGAGCAGCGCAGGGUGCUCAUGGAGCUGCGCAGGGCGGGGCUAACCGCCAAUCCCCGGAAAUGCCACCUCGCCCUCGAUGAAGCCAAGUACCUGGGCUACCAGGUGGUCCGGGGACUUAUCAAACCCCAAGAGAAGAAGGUGGCAGCGAUUCUCUCUGCCCCACGGCCCACCUCCAAAACCCAGGUGCGUGCCUUUUUGGGAUUGGCAGGAUACUAUCGGUGUUUUAUCCCUAACUUCUCCUCCUUAGCAGCACCCCUGACAGACCUGACCAGGAAGGGGCAGCCGGAGAGAGUCGCCUGGGGACACCACGAAGAGGAGGCGUUCAAGAAGGUGAAGGAGGCUCUCACCGCGGCACCGGUGCUCCGAGCCCCAGACUUUAACUGCCCCUUCCUGCUGCAAACGGACGCCUCCGACACCGGGUUGGGAGCCGUCCUCUCCCAGGUGCAGGACGGUGAGGAACACCCGGUGAUUUACAUCAGCCGAAAGCUGACCCCCACGGAAACAACGGUACGCCGCCGUGGAGAAGGAAGCGUUGGCCGUCAAGUGGGCAGUCCUGGAGCUCAGGUAUUACCUACUCGGCCGGAAAUUCACGCUGUUCACCGAUCACGCCCCUCUGCAGUGGAUGGCACGGGCCAAGGAGACGAAUGCGAGGGUCACCCGCUGGUUCCUGGCACUCCAGGACUUCCACUUCGUCGUGCAACAUCGGGCGGGGACGGCCAACGCAAACGCCGACGGACUUUCCCGGAUCUGGUCAGCUUUCGCAGGUCUGUCAGGUUUUCUCCCCACCCCCCACCCCCCCACACUUUCCCCUUUCGCCCGCAGGAACAGGACGACGCUUAGCGGGGGGGAGUGUGACACGUGUCCCGAGACCUCAUCAGCGUCGCCCUGGAAACGGAGGAGGAUCACCUGUACGACAUUAACACGGGCUGGCCGGCCACACCUGAAGCCCAUCAAGACGUGGAUAUAAGCACGCCGGGAACAGAGAAGGAGAGCAGCAUCUGACCGGCCAGCCCACAGCACACAGACUGCACGGACACCAGACCCUCACUCACGCAGAG
Molecule: RNA transcript, 6066 nt
Organism: Onychostoma macrolepis
Lineage: Eukaryota; Metazoa; Chordata; Actinopteri; Cypriniformes; Cyprinidae
Exons: 2
Source: RefSeq, a predicted model, not a curated record